Molecule: ribosomal RNA, 1438 nt
Filed under: Salmonella enterica
Lineage: Bacteria; Pseudomonadati; Pseudomonadota; Gammaproteobacteria; Enterobacterales; Enterobacteriaceae
Description: partial 23S ribosomal RNA
Rfam family: Bacterial large subunit ribosomal RNA
Source: RNAcentral
GUGUGUUCCAGGUAAAUCCGGUUCACUUUAACACUGAGGCGUGACGACGAGGCACUACGGUGCUGAAGCAACAAAUGCCCUGCUUCCAGGAAAAGCCUCUAAGCAUCAGGUAACAUCAAAUCGUACCCCAAACCGACACAGGUGGUCAGGUAGAGAAUACCAAGGCGCUUGAGAGAACUCGGGUGAAGGAACUAGGCAAAAUGGUGCCGUAACUUCGGGAGAAGGCACGCUGACACGUAGGUGAAGUGAUUUACUCAUGGAGCUGAAGUCAGUCGAAGAUACCAGCUGGCUGCAACUGUUUAUUAAAAACACAGCACUGUGCAAACACGAAAGUGGACGUAUACGGUGUGACGCCUGCCCGGUGCCGGAAGGUUAAUUGAUGGGGUCAGCGCAAGCGAAGCUCCUGAUCGAAGCCCCGGUAAACGGCGGCCGUAACUAUAACGGUCCUAAGGUAGCGAAAUUCCUUGUCGGGUAAGUUCCGACCUGCACGAAUGGCGUAAUGAUGGCCAGGCUGUCUCCACCCGAGACUCAGUGAAAUUGAACUCGCUGUGAAGAUGCAGUGUACCCGCGGCAAGACGGAAAGACCCCGUGAACCUUUACUAUAGCUUGACACUGAACAUUGAGCCUUGAUGUGUAGGAUAGGUGGGAGGCUUUGAAGUGUGGACGCCAGUCUGCAUGGAGCCGACCUUGAAAUACCACCCUUUAAUGUUUGAUGUUCUAACGUGGACCCGUUACCCGGGUUGCGGACAGUGUCUGGUGGGUAGUUUGACUGGGGCGGUCUCCUCCUAAAGAGUAACGGAGGAGCACGAAGGUUGGCUAAUCCUGGUCGGACAUCAGGAGGUUAGUGCAAUGGCAUAAGCCAGCUUGACUGCGAGCGUGACGGCGCGAGCAGGUGCGAAAGCAGGUCAUAGUGAUCCGGUGGUUCUGAAUGGAAGGGCCAUCGCUCAACGGAUAAAAGGUACUCCGGGGAUAACAGGCUGAUACCGCCCAAGAGUUCAUAUCGACGGCGGUGUUUGGCACCUCGAUGUCGGCUCAUCACAUCCUGGGGCUGAAGUAGGUCCCAAGGGUAUGGCUGUUCGCCAUUUAAAGUGGUACGCGAGCUGGGUUUAGAACGUCGUGAGACAGUUCGGUCCCUAUCUGCCGUGGGCGCUGGAGAACUGAGGGGGGCUGCUCCUAGUACGAGAGGACCGGAGUGGACGCAUCACUGGUGUUCGGGUUGUCAUGCCAAUGGCACUGCCCGGUAGCUAAAUGCGGAAGAGAUAAGUGCUGAAAGCAUCUAAGCACGAAACUUGCCCCGAGAUGAGUUCUCCCUGAGACUUAAAGUCUCCUGAAGGAACGUUGAAGACGACGACGUUGAUAGGCCGGGUGUGUAAGCGCAGCGAUGCGUUGAGCUAACCGGUACUAAUGAACCGUGAGGCUUAACCUUACAACGCCGAAG